Molecule: non-coding RNA, 631 nt
Organism: Ictidomys tridecemlineatus (thirteen-lined ground squirrel)
Lineage: Eukaryota; Metazoa; Chordata; Mammalia; Rodentia; Sciuridae
Source: RefSeq, a predicted model, not a curated record
AGGUAAGUAUUAUUCUUCCGAUAGUCCUGAAGCUGGUCUUCUUGUCGAAGAAACUCCUGUCGAAGUUCAGCAAGUUGUUCUAUCCACACAAGGACUUUUAAAUAAGGAAAUGAAAUGCAGUCUGAAGAGAAAACCAGAGGAAGCAAGAUUAGAGGGAGAAAGAUGAAAACAGAGACUAUGGUCACAAUAGAGAUCUGGACCAAUUGACUUUGAGGCAUUUCUGACAUACCCAAGAAGAGAUCUUCAGUACACAGUUGGGCAUAUGGGUCAGGAACUUGGGGAUGAUUACAGAGAAAUGAGCAUGCAAAAGGUAUUCAAAGCCAUUGGAAUAAGAUCACUAAAAGAAAACUUCACAGGCAGCAGAAAAAACUAACAACAAUUAUUUGAUCAAUUAUUAAGAACUGCUAUCUACUAACUCUCAGUUAGCCUAUGUUUACAUUCUUUUUUUUUCCCCCUCUAUGUGGAAUGAUUGUUUGGAGUCCUGGAGGAGCAAGCUGGCCCCACACUUCUCCAAAUCCACAUUUCUUUUCCUCCAAAGACUGGGAACCAAAGACACGCCUUUGUAGGAGGGCGUAGAUGGACACAACAGAAUGCCUUUAUUUUAUGUGGUGCUGAGGAUAGAACCCGGGUC